Molecule: ribosomal RNA, 515 nt
Filed under: uncultured bacterium
Lineage: Bacteria
Description: partial 16S ribosomal RNA
Rfam family: Bacterial small subunit ribosomal RNA
Source: RNAcentral
GAUGAACGCUGGCGGCGUGCCUAAUACAUGCAAGUCGAGCGAAUGGAUUAAGAGCUUGCUCUUAUGAAGUUAGCGGCGGACGGGUGAGUAACACGUGGGUAACCUGCCCAUAAGACUGGGAUAACUCCGGGAAACCGGGGCUAAUACCGGAUAACAUUUUGAACCGCAUGGUUCGAAAUUGAAAGGCGGCUUCGGAUGUCACUUAUGGAUGGACCCGGGUCGCAUUAGCUAGUUGGUGAGGUAACGGCUCACCAAGGCAACGAUGCGUAGCCGACCUGAGAGGGUGAUCGGACACACUGGGACUGAGACACGGCCCAGACUCCUACGGGAGGCAGCAGUAGGGAAUCUUCCGCAAUGGACGAAAGUCUGACGGAGCAACGCCGCGUGAGUGAUGAAGGCUUUCGGGUCGUAAAACUCUGUUGUUAGGGAAGAACAAGUGCUAGUUGAAUAAGCUGGCACCUUGACGGUACCUAACCAGAAAGCCACGGCUAACUACGUGCCAGCCGCCGCUGUAA